GGUGCCGUGGCUCGGAGGCGCUUUGGAGGCGUUGAUGGCAUCGCUGGGUUCGGUUUGCAGCGGGUGUCCGCUAAGGGAUACGGUGUUCUUCCUGAGUGGGCACGGUUCUCGGUGCCGGAUACUCAGAAAAUAUGUCUCCCUUAGAGUCCCACAGAAACGUUCUCAGUGCGAUCUCUAUCAAGUGCUAUGAGUCUUGAUCAAUUGGAGAAGAGCCCAAGAGAAAUUUUUCAUCCCUUGAUAUAAAAGGGAUCGGUGAAUUUUAACUUUGGAGUCCCCUAUGCUAAGGAUGCUCAGCUUACAGGUGAUGAAAUGUUCAGUAAUGUAUUUGCUGCAGCUCUGCUUACCCAAGCUUUGGGUUCCUUCUGUCCCACUGGGAGUUGCCCAAUUUGGUUGCAUCUGGUGAAAUUCACCCUGAGACCUUACAGAACCAGCUCCAACUACGUGAGAGCCAUUUGCAGUUCUCUCCAGAUGCCUGGAGAAUGGGUGACGUUUCUGAGGAUCCGGCGAGCGUGCUUCUAUCAAAACUCAGUCUGUGAAAUUCCUGGGGAAAACCCUUCUGUGUCCUGAAGGGUUCAAACUCUGGUGAGGAUCCAGUUAUCAGGUGCUCACCUGGAUGGUUCCAGCUCCCAAAGGGAAAGACUCUCGUAUCCUUGUCGUCGGGCUCGGUGCUGUCCAAGAAGAUACGGGGACUAAAAAAAUCAUAAGAAGCAAAAUACGACUGCAGGGAAAAGAAGCUGGAGAGAACAGAAGAGCCCUGUUGUACUAAUCUUCAUACAAGUACAAAACAACAAAUCAGACCCUGUCCCAAGCACUUAGAGGCCAGAACACGAUUUCCUCGGGCUGCCAUUUGUGUGCCAUCGGUACUCACCGUGGAAGGGAGCUGGGGAUUGUUGCAGCUGUUGGGAACAAACCGCUUCUCGUCACACAGAAAUGGAAUUGGGAUGACGCCUCGGCCAGCCCCUCUCUGCCAUCGUCUCCUGAAUCUGCAGCAGAGCAGUUCCAGUCCAUCCGGGCACGUGUAAUCCAGUUCCUGAUGAUCUGAGCACACGGGGCAGCGCUCAGCUGCUGUGGGGGGCUCACGGAAGGCAGAGUGUGCAUUGUCAUCUUCCUGAACCUACAGACAAAUCAAAGUGAGAAGCCACAGCGUGGAAAUCAGUCACAUAUAUGCUAAAUAAAACUUGCAGAUUUUUUUAAGAA
Molecule: long non-coding RNA, 1197 nt
Organism: Melospiza melodia melodia
Lineage: Eukaryota; Metazoa; Chordata; Aves; Passeriformes; Passerellidae
Exons: 7
Source: RefSeq, a predicted model, not a curated record